RNAcentral lists this long non-coding RNA (1991 nucleotides) under Anolis carolinensis (green anole). RNAcentral describes it as "lncRNA (ENSACAG00000039973.1)". The record is from RNAcentral. Lineage: Eukaryota; Metazoa; Chordata; Lepidosauria; Squamata; Anolidae.
AAACAACAAAACUACAGGCCCCCCAACCUCGAAAUUUGACAACAUAACCCAUCAUCCACGCCUCUAGGUUGAUACAACAAAAAGAAAAGAAAAAUAAAGUCCUAAUUAGAGGGAGAGCAAUAAUUGUUUUUAUAAAAUUGCUGCCAGUUAGAGGACUAAUCUCUGCCCACUUGGUCUCCUAGCAACCAACUCAGCCCAGGGGACAGGCAGACUUAGGCCUCGGCCUGUUCCACAGAUUAUCUAAUUUGCACUGGAUUAUAUGGCAGUGUAGACUCAAGGCCCUUCCACACAGCUAUAUAACCCAUUUAUAAUCUUAUAUUAUCUGCUUUGCUAUGAAUUAUCUGGACUCCACACUGCCAUAUAAUCCACUUCAGUGUGCAUUAAGAAGGGGCCUCAUAUAAUCCAGUUCUAAGCAGAUAAUAUAAGAUUAUAAAUAUAAUAUGUAAUAAUUACUGUGAUAUAGAAUCAUAGAAUCAUAGAAUAGUAGAGUUGGAAGACACCUCAUGGGCCAUCCAGUCCAACCCCAUUCUGCCAAGAAGCAGGAAAUCGCAUUCAAAGCAAUUACUAAUAAUACAGAACAAUAUAAUCUCUAAAAUCAGGACAGUAAAUAAAGAGCAACACUCUGAAAGCAUAAGCCACAGCAACUCGUGGCCGGGCAAAGCUAGUAUAUAAUCUAUAUAUAUAAAAGAGUGAUGGCAUCACGGCAAUUCACAAAACAACAAAAGUACAGACCCCCCAACCUCAAAAUUUGACAACACAACCCAUCAUCCAUGCCUCAAGGUUGAUACAACAACAAGACAAGGAAAAUAAAGUCCUAAUUAGAGGGAGAGCAAUAAUUUUUUUUAUCCAAUUGCUGCCAGUUUAGAGGGCUAAUCUCUGCCCAUUUGGUUGCCUAGCAACCAAGGGACAGCCAGGUUUCAGUUAGGGGACAGGCAGAUUUAGGCCUCAGACUUCUUCCACAGAUUAUCUAAUUUGCACUGGAUUAUAUGGCAGUGUAGACUCAAGGCCCUUCCACACAGCUAUAUAACCCAUUUAUAAUCUUAUAUUAUCUGCUUUGCACUGGAUUAUCUUGACUCCGCACUGCCAUAUAAUCCACUUCAGUGGGCAUUUUAUACAGCUGUGAAGAAGGGGCCUCAUAUAAUCCAGUUCUGAGCAGAUAAUAUAAGAUUAGAAAUAUACAGUAGAGUCUUACUUAUCCAACGUAAACAGGCCGGCAGGAUAAGUGAAUAUUUUGGAUAAUAAGAAGGGAUUCAGGAAAAGCCAAUUAAACAUCAAAUUAGGUAAUCGUUAUACAAAUUAAGCACCAAAACAUCAUAUUAUACAACAAAUUUGACAGAAAAAGUAGUUCCAUGCGCAGUAAUGCUAUGUAGUAUUUACAGUAGAGUCUCACUUAUCCAACACUAGCUUAUCCAAUGCAUUUUUGUAGUCAAUGCUUUCAAUAUAUCGUGAUAUUUUGGUGCUAAAUUCAUAAAUACAGUAAUUACUAUAUAGCAUUACUGUGUACUGAACUACUUUUUCUGACAAAUUUGUUGUCUAACAUGAUGUUUUGGUGCUUAAUUUGUAAAAUCAUAACUUAAUUUGAUGUUUAAUAGGGUUAUCCUUAAUUCCUCAUUAUCCAACAUAUUCGCUUAUCCAACGUUCUGCCGGCCCGUUUAUGUUGGAUAAGUGAGACUCUACUGUACUGUAUUUACAAAUUUACCACUAAAAUAUCACAAUGAAUUUAAAACACUGACUACAAAAACAUUGAUUAUGAAAAGGCAGACUGCGUUGGAUAAUCCAGAACAUUGUAUAAGCGAAUGUUGGAUAAGUGAGAUUCUUCUUUAAUAUGAAAUAAUUACUGGGAUAGAAUAAUGCAGAACAAUAUAAUCUCUAAAACCAGGACAGUAAAUAAACAGGGGAAUUCCACACAGGAAACAAUCGGGGCCAGCUAACACCUCCCAACAAAGUAUUCCCAUCAUCAAAGUCUGGCAAAUCCUGUUUUCUCAGGGCCA